RNAcentral lists this ribosomal RNA (290 nucleotides) under uncultured prokaryote. Its description in RNAcentral is "partial 16S ribosomal RNA". It matches the Rfam family "Bacterial small subunit ribosomal RNA", at positions 355 to 637 of the family's 1533-position model. The record is from RNAcentral.
UAGGGAAUCUUCCGCAAUGGACGAAAGUCUGACGGAGCAACGCCGCGUGAGUGAAGAAGGUUUUCGGAUCGUAAAACUCUGUUGUCAGAGAAGAACAAGUUGGAGAGUAACUGCUCCAGCCUUGACGGUAUCUGACCAGAAAGCCACGGCUAACUACGUGCCAGCAGCCGCGGUAAUAAGUAGGUGGCAAGCGUUGUCCGGAUUUAUUGGGCGUAAAGCGAGCGCAGGCGGUUCCUUAAGUCUGAUGUGAAAGCCCACGGCGCAACCGUGGAAGGGCAUUGGAAACUGGG